GGUGGAGGAUGGCCUAGAGUCUGGAGCUGCAGAAGAGGCAGGGCGGAGAGGAGGGGAAAGAAGCAUCUGAACGGCUAAAUUGUGCCAGCAGCGCUGAGAGCGAGAGUCGCGAGACCGUGCUGAGGACGUGGUUGUCUGUCCUUCCCCCGGGGAUGCCGUUGACUGCGGCCGUCUCAGGCUUGCGUGGCUUCUCUCUGCCCGGCGUUGCCAUCCUCGCAGCGCGGGGGCGAAAAGGGACACACAGAGCCCUUCCCGGCUGUGGACAGGAGCUGCCUCGGCUGAAGCUGGAGACGCCAACGAAAGGUGGAGAACGGCCUAGAGUCUGGAGCUGCAGAAGAGGCAGGGCGGAGAGGAGGGGAAAGAAGCAUCUGAACGGCUAAAUUGUGCCAGCAGCGCUGAGAGCGAGAGUCGCGGUGGAGGACGGCCUAGAGUCUGGAGCUGCAGAAGAGGCAGGGCGGAGAGGAGGGGAAAGAAGCAUCUGAACGGCUAAAUUGUGCCAGCAGCGCUGAGAGCGAGAGUCGCGGUGGAGGACGGCCUAGAGUCUGGAGCUGCAGAAGAGGCAGGGCGGAGAGGAGGGGAAAGAAGCAUCUGAACGGCUAAAUUGUGCCAGCAGCGCUGAGAGCGAGAGUCGCGGUGGAGGACGGCCUAGAGUCUGGAGCUGCAGAAGAGGCAGGGCGGAGAGGAGGGGAAAGAAGCAUCUGAACGGCUAAAUUGUGCCAGCAGCGCUGAGAGCGAGAGUCGCGGUGGAGGACGGCCUAGAGUCUGGAGCUGCAGAAGAGGCAGGGCGGAGAGGAGGGGAAAGAAGCAUCUGAACGGCUAAAUUGUGCCAGCAGCGCUGAGAGCGAGAGUCGCGGUGAGUCCUGGGCCACUGGGGCCCCGUUGCCUCUCUUGUGCGUCCUGGGCCC
This is a non-coding RNA of Phalacrocorax carbo (great cormorant), 905 nucleotides long. The record is from RefSeq and is a predicted model, not a curated record. Lineage: Eukaryota; Metazoa; Chordata; Aves; Suliformes; Phalacrocoracidae.